AGUCAUCGGUCAGUCUGUCCUGAGCUGCUAGAGUCUCCCGCCUGUCCAGAGCCGCCGGUCUGCAAGGAGCCGCCAGAGCCGCCGGUCUGUAAGGAGCCGCCAGAGCCGCCAGUCUGUAAGGAGCCGCCAGAGCCGCCGGUCAGCCAGGAUCCGCCAGAGCCGCCGGUCAGCCAGGAUCUGCCAGAGCCGCCAGUCUGCAAGGAGCCGCCAGAGCCGACGGUCAGCCAGGAUUCGCCAGAGCCGCCGGUCAGCCAGGAUCCGCCAGAGCCGCCGGUCAGCCAGGAGCCGCCAGAGCCGCCGGUCUGCAAGGAGCCGCCAGAGCCGCCAGAUCCGCCGGUCUGCAAGGAGCCGCCAGAUCCGCCGGUCAGCCAGGAUCCGCCAGAGCCGCCGGUCAGCCAGGAUCCGCCAGAGCCGCCGGUCAGCCAAGAUCUGCCAGAGCCGCCAGUCUGCAAGGAGCCGCCAGAGCCGCCGGUCAGCCAGGAUCCGCCAGAGCCGCCGGUCAUCCAGGAGCCGCCAGAGCCGCCAGUCUGCAAGGAGCCGCCAGAGCCACCAGUCAGCCAGGAGCCGCCAGAGCAGCCAGAGCCGCCAGUCAGCCAGGAUCCGCCAGUUCCGCCAGUCAGCCAGGAUCCGCCAGAGCCGCCAGUCAGCCAGGAUCCGCCAGAGCCGCCAGCCAGCCAGGAGCCGCCAGAGCCGCCAUACAGCCAGGAGCAGCCAGAGCCGCCAGUCAGCCUGGAUUUGCCAGAGCCACCAGUCAGACAGGAUCCGCCAGAGCCGCCAUUCAGCCAGGAUCCGCCAGAGCCGCCAUUCAGCCAGGAUUCGCCAGAGCCGCCAGUCAGCCAGGAACCGCCAGAGCCGCCAGUCUGCAAGGAGCCGCCAGAGUCGCCUGUCUGCAAGGAGCCGCCAGAGCCGGCCUGUCUGCAAGUAGCUGCCAGAGCUGCCGGUCUGCAAGGAGCCGCCAGAGCCGCCAGAGCCGCCGGUCAAUCAGGAUCCGCCAGAGCCGCCAGUCAGCCAGGAGCCGCCAGAGCCGCCAGUCUGCAAGGAGCCGCCAGAGCCACCAGUCAGCCAGGAGCCGCCAGAGCCGCCAAUCAUCCAGGAUCCGCCAGAGCUGCCAGUCAGCCAGGAUCCGCCAGUCAGCCAGGAGCAGCCAGAGCCGCCAGUCAGCCAGGAUCCGCCAGAGCCGCCAGCCAGCCAGGAGCAGCCAGAGCCGCCAUACAGCCAGGAGCAGCCAGAGCCGCCAGUCAGCCUGGAUUUGCCAAAGCCACCAGUCAGCCAGGAUCCGCCAGAGCCGCCAUUCAGCCAGGAUCCGCCAGAGCCGCCAUUCAGCCAGGAUUCGCCAGAGCCGCCAGUCAGCCAGGAUCCGCCAGAGCCGUCAGUCAGCCAGGAUCCGCCAGAGCCGCCAGUCAGCCAGGAUCCGCCAGAGCUGUCAACCAGCCUAAGCUACCUCUCAGUCCUGAGCUACCUCUCAAUCCUGAGCUACCUCUCAGUCCUGAGCUACCUCUCAGUCCUGAGCUACCCCUCAGUACUGAGCUACCCCUCAGUCCUGAGCUACCUCUCAGUCCUGAGCUACCUCUCAGUCCUGAGCUGCCCCUCAGUCCUGAGAUACCCCUCAGUCCGGAGGAGUUUGUUUAG
Oncorhynchus mykiss (rainbow trout) is the source of this 1629-nucleotide long non-coding RNA. The record is from Ensembl. NCBI's taxonomy places the organism in Eukaryota, Metazoa, Chordata, Actinopteri, Salmoniformes, Salmonidae.